AGCCUGAACGCUGGCGGCGUGGCUAAGACAUGCAAGUCGUACGGGUGUAGCAAUACACCAGUGGCGGACGGGUGAGUAAUGUAUCGCUAACGUACCCCGGAUUCUGGGAUAGCUGCCCGAAAGGGCAGGUAAUACCGGAUGAUAUAUCCUUUUCGCAUGAUGAGGAUCUCAAAGGGAAACCGUUCUGGGAGCGGGCGAUAUCGUAUCAGCUAGUUGGUGAGGUAACGGCUCACCAAGGCGACGACGCGUAGCCGGACUGAGAGGUUGGCCGGCCACAUUGGGACUGAGACACUGCCCAGACUCCUACGGGGGGCUGCAGUAACGAAUCUUCCGCAAUGCACGCAAGUGUGACGGAGCGACGCCGCGUGUGGACGAAGUCCUUCGGGAUGUAAACCACUGUCAGGGGUUAGAAAGUUCUGAUCAACCCAGAGGAGGCACGGCUAACUCUGCGCCAGCAGCCGCGUAA
RNAcentral lists this ribosomal RNA (466 nucleotides) under uncultured bacterium. RNAcentral's name for it is "SSU rRNA". It matches the Rfam family "Bacterial small subunit ribosomal RNA", at positions 26 to 522 of the family's 1533-position model. The record is from RNAcentral.